RNAcentral lists this ribosomal RNA (842 nucleotides) under Flavobacterium sp. Its description in RNAcentral is "bacterial SSU rRNA". It matches the Rfam family "Bacterial small subunit ribosomal RNA", at positions 87 to 932 of the family's 1533-position model. Lineage: Bacteria; Pseudomonadati; Bacteroidota; Flavobacteriia; Flavobacteriales; Flavobacteriaceae. The record is from RNAcentral.
GCUAGAGACCGGCGCACGGGUGCGUAACGCGUAUGCAAUCUACCUUUUACAGAGGGANAGCCCAGAGAAAUUUGGAUUAAUACCUCAUAGUAUAUAGCCCUGGCAUCAGGAUUAUNUUAAAGUCACAACGGNAAAAGAUGAGCAUGCGUCCCAUUANCUAGUUGGUAAGGUAACGGCUUACCAAGGCUACGAUGGGUAGGGGUCCNGAGAGGGAGAUCCCCCACACUGGUACUGAGACACGGACCAGACUCCUACGGGAGGCAGCAGUGAGGAAUAUUGGACNAUGGGCGCAAGCCUGAUCCAGCCAUGCCGCGUGCAGGAUGACGGUCCUAUGGAUUGUAAACUGCUUUUGUACGAGAAGAAACAUCCCGACGUGUCGGGACUUGACGGUAUCGUAAGAAUAANGAUCGGCUAACUCCGUGCCAGCAGCCGCGGUAAUACGGAGGAUCCAAGCGUUAUCCGGAAUCAUUGGGUUUAAAGGGUCCGUAGGCGGUUUAAUAAGUCAGUGGUGAAAGCCCAUCGCUCAACGGUGGAACGGCCAUUGAUACUGUUAGACUUGAAUUAUUAGGAAGUAACUAGAAUAUGUAGUGUAGCGGUGAAAUGCUUAGAGAUUACAUGGAAUACCAAUUGCGAAGGCAGGUUACUACUAAUUGAUUGACGCUGAUGGACGANAGCGUGGGUAGCGAACAGGAUUAGAUACCCUGGUAGUCCACGCCGUACACGAUGGAUACUANCUGUUGGAAGCAAUUUCAGUGGCUAAGCGAAAGUGAUAAGUAUCCCACCUGGGGAGUACGUUCGCNAGAAUGAAACUCAAAGGAAUUGACGGGGGCCCGCACAAGCGG